UACCCGCUCCUCCUUGUUCUGCCAUGUCGUCAUGUACUGGGGCUCUUCUUCUACUUGUUCCGCAGCAGACGCUCGUGACAGGGUGGCAGCAGCAGGAACUCCCUGCGCGAGAGGAGGUGGAGGAGCAGCAGGGACUCUCUCGUUGUAGUGCUACUCCUCCAGCUCGACUUUACCCGCCGGUAGCUCUCCGACGGGUGGACCCUGUCCGAGGUGUGGAGCGAGGGAGAGGUACGGUUGCGGUAAGUAGGCAACCUCGGCCACCUGCACGCGGCCGACCCCCGGCGCCUGGCCGCCCUCGACCACGUGUGGGAGUAGUGGCUGUAGGUGCUCCUGUUGGAGGCGGACGAGGCCGUGGUCGCGGCGUCCUACCUGUCCCAGCCGCACGCCGUCGGGUGCCAGCUCCAGGCUACCGCCUUGGACGUGCAGCUGCGGCUCACGGUCCAGCAGCUACCGUUCGGCGAGGGGUGCGAGGAGUUGAGGCGGUAGAGGUGUGAGAGCGAUGAGUGGUGGUACGAGCCGAAGUUGGCAUUGGUUCUUUCCUAGGUGUAGGAGUUUCUACAGUGACCGUAGGAGUUUGGAAGGUCCUACUGGGAAGAGGAACCUGGGGGUCCGACACCGUUUUGGUGGGAAAACGAUCGUGAACGACCUUUCGAGUUGUUUUUAGAGUUCCAUUGUCCACUUUAACUGAUGUUACCACAGUUCGACGUUCUAAAACAAGGUCUCUUCUGUAGUCGCAUGUAACCAGUCAUGCUAGAAGUACAGGGACUCUACUGACAGUCCCUCUGCGAGCUGAAGAGACGUUCUAAGGUCCCGCAACCGUCGUCUCGUCUUUAGUACUUCCUUCAGUAAUCUUCCCUCCUCCGACCCUAGUAGGGACUGGGGUUGUAUCUAUGUAUGUACUUCCGUUAUAGGUACCUACCAAAUCUUUCUUCGUACGUUUGUCUGAUGUAAUACUUCUAUUACCCUGAACUGUAUACGCGACUACAUGAUCAUCCUCUACGGUACUCUUCUCCAUAAAGUCCGCCACUCUUCUUUUCUGAUUGGUGUCCUCUCCACUAUCAUCCUGGUAGUUUUCGCGAGAAGUACCUACUUUAUAGUUGACCCGACCUGUCAAGAUGGUGGAAGGUUUAACAAAGAACAGAGGUUGUCGAUCGAGUAUAUAGUCUCAGAUGGUAUGACCAGAGUGAGGAAGUUGGUCGUGGUCUCUGAAUGGUUGAAAAACUACUAUAAUAGAACUACCGACUUCCUGUUUAGCAUAUGGUACCAGGAUUCUCGACGUAAUACUCAAAGAAACUUAGAACACCGAAGUUCACGGGACCUUCUUUUCCCCUACGACUGAAGGAAGUUCUCCAGGAUAGUUUUUUUCUAGUUGUUGUUAUGACCUCGGCGUGGCUUCUUCCUAUAUUAAAACAAUGUCAACUGGUUAAGACACUAUUCAAGUUUCGUAGAGUCUCACCAGUCUUAGAACAACCCCUCGAAAGUUUCGGCAUACUACUUAGGUUUCCUGUAUUCUUACGUGACAGGAAGUCAUAGAUGAGCAAUAGGUUCACCCUAGAGCAGUUCCGUACAAAACGUGCCCUCGAGGAAGAAUACUUUUCUUUACGGAAGUAGAUGUAUUGUUUUCGGUAAGUCGAACCUGAUUAACGACGAUAAUGACCCUGUCAUAAAGACGCGUGGGUAUACCCACAACUAUCUUAAGUACGAUUGAUAAUAUACUCAAGUGAGAAGAAACGCGAAGACGACGACUACCACUUACCAAAGGGACUCGACCGGUACCGUUAAUUGUCUGACGGUCAGAAGAUGUUUGUCUCUCUGAUGAUGAAGAUAGGACGUACCCGAAUACGUUAUGGUAGAAAAUAGGAUUUCUAAGGUCAGAGAAAUCAACUCAGUCAUCGAACCUGUAGUUAUAGGAUGAUGGACUAACCGAUAUGGGGUCUUCGUAGAUCCAAAAAGAGACUCGAGGAGUAGGAGAAGGAGUAGGUGUGUCAUUGUAAUAGUUUCAAGGCCACACAACGGAGUAUGACAGUUUGCUACCACCAACGAAGUUAGACACCGUGUAACUGUAAAGAUCAGUACGAAGAUAAACCUCCAAAGUAUUAAGGAGCACCGAAUUGACCUUUACUCAAAAACCGUGGUUCUACCAAUCUCUAGUGCAAUAGACCACAUUGUGAACCUUUCUCCCAUGAUUACCUAGUUCGUGAUCUGAAGAGGUCGAUGAAGAUGACCUAGAGUCAACGUCGUAACUAACCCAAAUGAAACAACAAGUUACAUCCGAAACGGUAGCCGAACUGGUAAUUUUUAUAAGGUCCUAGAAGAGCACGAUAAUAGAGAACGUCAUUCGAACGGUGUAAACCACUUUCUUUGGUUCGAUUCCUAUACUUUUUACCCUACGGAUUAAAUGUUCGUCUUUGGCGAAACUGUGGAUUAUCCUGACCCUCCUACCAUAAAGGACAGUGUGGGGAAUGUUAUAAUAAAGUUCUACAGUUGAUGAUACAUCUGUGGGGGUGUCUUUACUCCCUCGUACCAAUAUACCUUUCUUUUGAUGUUGAUGACGUGUUAUAGUGUCCUCGUAAAGUCGGUCCCCAAGAGAGUCGGGAAUACCCCCAAUGACCUCGCCCUUUUUGUUGUGAGGAAAUACAAGAACGACCUUCCUUUUGCCCACCACAAUAACUUCCCCUAUAUUCUUAUCCUCCGAUAGGAUUCUAGGUCGUUUGAAAACGAUCCUAUAGUCCGAUGACACUUGUCUGACUACAAGUAAGGGGUGUUUAGUGUCACCCACUUAGUCAACGUAUAAGUCGGACCAACGCGGAAGGUGGUCUUUAACUAAGUUUUCGUUCUUUACUUAAACAUUUACUUCAAGAACUUUGUUAACUCAAUCUACUUUAAUCUCUAAGAAACCAACCUUAUGGUCCCCAUUUACCUGAUAGCUGUCUCGUUGCCUUUGCCGAGUGAUAACGUCAACUCGAACACAGAUUGGGAAGUUAGUAUAAGUACCUACUCGGCUGUAGUCCGAACCUACGUUCCCGUCGACGAUAACAGUACGCACGUCAGUUCUUACAACGUCUAUGUCCAGCCUGUCAGCACACGUGGUAAGUGGUUGGUUCAUAGCUAUAUAAACUCCGUAAACUACUCAACUACGACUACUUUUCCCCACCUCUCAACUAGAUACGACCCGAUCAACCUGUAGUAAGUACACUCCAGUAGGUUAUAAAGGUCCGUUAUGGACCCCAAGGGUCCUAGUUCCUGUUGAUGUUGGGUAGUUGUACCUACGAUCUUCAAUGAAGGUGUAGAUACCUUCAAGUUGACCCUCGUCUAAAACGUGUUAACAUGUCCCUUAGUAGUUACACGUUCCUGUUCCUGUACCACCAUUUCGCCAAUUCGUAUGGUCAAGGUCCAUGCUGGCUGGAGGUAAAACGCUGUGCCAAAGGUGUCUUCAAAGUCCUCGUUAAGUUUCGAACGGAGACCUUCGUCACAAACAGCAUAACCUCUUGGGGAAGGAUGUUGGACCACGCUAAACACAAGUAUUGUAAUAGGACGUAAAAGAAACCACGUGACAAGACCGUUGUUCCGUUGUAGUUGGUGUACAUACAUUUGGUUUUGCUGGUCGUUUCAGAGAAGUGGUAUAACCCCACGUACAUACCUUAGUGAGACAAGCGACCGUAGUUGUUGACAGUUAGCCACUACGGUAAAUAGAGGCACCUCGCGAGACAGCAAAUGUCCCUCUCUAAACGUUCCUACAUGAGAGGAACCCGGAUGAGAAAACGCGUCCAACGGUACCUCUAUGGAAUACACGACUACGUCCACCACGACAAGUACAACUAUCGUAUAGGCUACUAUCCCAUGCGCACCUGUCGUCGCUUCAAGAAAACCAAAUACAUGUGGUACAAAACGUGUGACGAGACGAAGCAGAUGUACCCUUACCACCACCACAGCAAGUGGGGGUUGUAGGUUAAACGUAGGCAUGAAAGUAGAUACAAGAUGUGGGAUGUUUUGGAGUACAGACCGAAGUAGCACGGACGCGGAGUUUAUGGCUCUACCACCUAUACCAAGAUGAUGCAGAGGGGUUACAGCACCCUCGAUUCCCAGAAUAAGUGGUGCGUCAAGCCCCUAAUGCUGCUGUCCUACUAGCUACAUAAACCUCUCUGGUUUAGCCAGGGUCGUAAGUACUUCCUGAUGAAACCAAAAGCCGCACUAAACGACGGCGACCGCCGACAACAAGACCGCCGUAAGGGGUAGGAAGAACGGCAAGAGAAGCCAAUGUUGUAGAGUUUCGAGUUAAAGGUUUCCGCUAUCUGUGUGUACAUAAGUAGUUUCAUCAUUUUGUCAUCGUGCCAUCUCUUUUCUAUAACGAACGCGCGCGCGGGUGUGUG
Molecule: ribosomal RNA, 4370 nt
Filed under: Triticum aestivum (bread wheat)
Lineage: Eukaryota; Viridiplantae; Streptophyta; Magnoliopsida; Poales; Poaceae
Description: partial small subunit ribosomal RNA
Source: RNAcentral